This is a long non-coding RNA of Hippocampus comes (tiger tail seahorse), 2924 nucleotides long. RefSeq lists it as uncharacterized. The record is from RefSeq and is a predicted model, not a curated record. The transcript is spliced from 3 exons. NCBI's taxonomy places the organism in Eukaryota, Metazoa, Chordata, Actinopteri, Syngnathiformes, Syngnathidae.
UUGUAAUUUGUUUUUCAACCCCAUAAUGCUCAUCUCAAUCUCAGCUCAGUCAUGUCCCUUGAUUAAUCUGCAAAGGAAAUAAACCUUUUGAUUAAAAAAAAACGUGUAAUCCAAUAACUCCUCUCCCCUUUGGAGCAUGUAUAAUGGUUCCAUUAUACACAAGGGCAUGUUUUUAUUAAAUAUCAACGCGUGGCUCUGUCGAGCAUCUGCCCAACCUUGACGGAAGAUUCUACCCGAGGAGUGGGCCUGUCAGUCGACAAGACUAUUGAUGAAUGUUGUUUUCCAAUUCAGUGAUGUUGACGCAUCAAUCGCAGGCCUCAAAAAGUUCCGCGUCCAAAACUUAUUCACGCUGUUCUUUGAAAUUUGAUGAAAAACGAAUGGUUGGGGAUGCUGACGCUGUCAAAGAAUGGAUGAUUUAAGAUCGGUCAGCUGCUUCGCAGCUGUGCGCCAUUAAAGAUUAGCUUGCGUCAACAUACAGUGCUUCCUCAGAGGUAAAAUUUGUGUACUUUUGAUUUUUUUUCCCCCCUUUACUAUCUGUCAAAAAUCCAAUGUUUGGUCAUGCUUAGCGCUGUUGCGGGUAUUUUCCAAACUUUCCUUAUCUUUAUUUAUUUUUUUUCUUUUCCAUUCCAGUUCAUUUGGUGGGGCUCAGCCAGGAACCAUUUAUUGACUUGCUUUUCAUGAACAAACAAAACAUUCACUUGCAGUUUUCUUGAGCCAGCUGUCAGCUUUGUGAACAUAUUUAUUUUGGUUUAAAUAUGUGUUCGGUGCCUGAUGUCCUGCAUUUGAGUCCAUCUGUUUGUGAUAUUUGACAAGAAUCAACACUGAGUGAAGAGGUAGACUGCUUCGUUAGCUUCCCAUGAUAGCUGCUGAGUGGCUAACUGCCAACUUUUUGGACAAAAUGUUUUGGUUUUAAUAUUGUGACACGUGUCCCGCAGUUGAAUUCAGCUUGUUGUGCUGCUAGACAAGAAGGAACACCGAAUACAGAUAUUGUAUACAAUGCUACCGUAGCUUCUUGCUGGUUGGUUAGCGACUGAGUGAGAAGCGAGAUCCUGAGUGCUGAGCUCUUACUUUUUAUGAACCAAGACUAUGAUUUGAAUAUUCUGUGUCCGGUGUUAUUUGAGUCUAUCCGUUUGUGAUUAAUGACAAUGAGGAGCACCGAGCAAAGACGAAGACGUUGGUUUCCUGCGCUAGCGGCUAACUGGAUACCUGUUGGCUGCCCAAUGUUUUAGGAACAUUUUGUUUUUAAAUUUUAAUAUUCUGUUUGGUGUCAUACAUUUGAGUGUAACUUUCGGUGGUGAUUGACAAAAAGGAAUGCUGACGCAAAAUGCAGACUGCUCCAUUCGCUUUCUCCACUGGGCUGUGAUGGCUAACUGCUCCCUGGCCAGCUGCCAACUUGCGAAUCAACGAAUUUGAUUUGGGGCUCUUGUGAAGGCUCGCCCGUCUGUGUUUGAGUCCAUAGGUUUGUGCCAAAUGAAGGCGUAGAAUGUUUCAUUAGCAAUUUGCGCUAGCUGCUGACUAGCAAGCUGCAGUAAGCUAGUCUUUUGUGAGGUCCAAAAGUUAUUUUUCAAAACCCUGCUGUAUUUCAAUUGUGGUGUUUUUUUUAAAAGUGUCCUCAAGCCUAUUGCCAUUCUUGGAUCGUUUUUGUAGCGCGGUUGUGCAAUCCUGAUUCGAGUAUUAGCCACCGAGACAAUCUCCACUAGACCUUGUCUAAGGAGAACAGCUGGGCAAAGGAAAUGAGGUCUGGAGACAGGCCUGAAAUGUAAUGUUUUGAUACAUCACAUAUUUUCACUUCCAAGGGGCUUAGAGGGAGCAUUCCCAUCACAGUGAGUUACAACAGAAAUCCGUCACAUAAAGCACUGCAAUCAUUCAAUGUACGUUUUUGAUGUCAAUGAUCUUUACCAAGCAACUUGUCUCAUUUUUAUAUACGUUCUCAAAACUAAUCACCAUUAAAAAAAAUCUGCCAUGUUGUAUGUCAUCCAUGUUUAAAGAAUUUUUUGCUUCCAGGAAUUCAGUUUGGAUCAUCCUGAAAGCAUUAAGUGUCCAGGAAUGUACUGUACCUUGUUUUGAAAUAUCCCUGUUUAUUCCAUGUCUACUGUGCGAUGACAACCAGACCGUUUAUCAUGACGUCUUCUCGCAUGAAACACUCUCCAGAGUUUUGGCGUGUAGUACUGUGCCAAAUAGGCAUAUUUUCCAAAUAAGGCAACUACGGCUGCUUGGUAAAUGUCCUUGAAUCAACAAUGAAUUAACGAACUACAGUAUUUUUUUUUGUAAGGCUCCUGUACUGUUACGGGUCAAAUUGACUAACCCCCCCUUGGGGGUGAUACAUGGAUCAAAAUAUGUGAAAGCGGUAAGAGCUCAAAGUACACAGUCAAAUAUUCAAUGGAACCUAAAACAAAAGAUGACAAUCCGUGCCGUUUUGUACAAACGAAAUGGAGCUAUGGAAUGCUGCUAGAGAAGCCCAUUUUUCUCAUAGCAAACAUCACAGAGAGAAAGAAUGCUAAAGUCAGAGCCCUGGUGUGAUUAAACAUUUGCCCGUAUCCUAGAGCUUGAUCUCCAGAGGAAUGCAUUGUGUAUAAGGACUUGGCGCGGCCUGAAUAGCAGCUUUAUUAAGUGGCCCGAGGGGUGCAAGGUGCAGGGAUGCAACCUUGAACACAAUGACUUUGGCAUUGCGGAUAACCUAAUGGUGUCUUCUCAUCUGCGUUAACUAUUCUGCGACUCCUUCGACUCAGCGUCCUGAAUUUGGCUCAUCAUGCUGCUGCAUUUGGGGUUGAAUCUUUCGUUGUUUCUUUUCAUAAGAACACAAAAACAGCAAAUAGCAAUUUGUCACACGUUGGCGCUACCUCUGGCUAAUGACCGAACAAGAACAAUUCAAGGUAAUGUUUCCCAAGUGCGCUGUACAAAAAAAAAAAAAACACAUUUUCUCG